CAUUAAUCAAGGAAAACGGGACGUAGAAAUGGGGAAACUUCAGUCCAAACAUGCGGGCAAACGUAGAGAGAACCCCGAAGGAGACAGUUUUGUUGUGAACGCUUUCCUCCGAAGAGCGAUGGGGGAAUGUGAGAUGUACAGCUCCUC
Long non-coding RNA from Oncorhynchus nerka (sockeye salmon), 147 nucleotides. RefSeq lists it as uncharacterized. The transcript is spliced from 3 exons. The record is from RefSeq and is a predicted model, not a curated record. NCBI's taxonomy places the organism in Eukaryota, Metazoa, Chordata, Actinopteri, Salmoniformes, Salmonidae.